GACGAACGCUGGCGGCGUGCUUAACACAUGCAAGUCGAACGAUGAAAGCGGGAGCUUGCUCCUGCUGGAUUAGUGGCGAACGGGUGAGUAACACGUGAGCAAUCUGCCCCGAACUCUGGGAUAAGCGUUGGAAACGACGUCUAAUACCGGAUACGACGCGCGAAGGCAUCUUCUGCGCGUGGAAAGAAUUUCGGUUCGGGAUGAGCUCGCGGCCUAUCAGCUAGUUGGUGAGGUAAUGGCUCACCAAGGCGACGACGGGUAGCCGGCCUGAGAGGGUGACCGGCCACACUGGGACUGAGACACGGCCCAGACUCCUACGGGAGGCAGCAGUGGGGAAUAUUGCACAAUGGGCGCAAGCCUGAUGCAGCAACGCCGCGUGAGGGACG
RNAcentral lists this ribosomal RNA (386 nucleotides) under uncultured bacterium. RNAcentral describes it as "bacterial SSU rRNA". It matches the Rfam family "Bacterial small subunit ribosomal RNA", at positions 28 to 410 of the family's 1533-position model. The record is from RNAcentral.